Molecule: long non-coding RNA, 1073 nt
Filed under: Musa acuminata (dwarf banana)
Lineage: Eukaryota; Viridiplantae; Streptophyta; Magnoliopsida; Zingiberales; Musaceae
Description: long non-coding RNA (MACU_LNC009715)
Source: RNAcentral
GCACGCUGUUCCUUCUCAACCAAGAAGGCUUCCCGGCGCCGACCACCCCUGCUUCCCUUCUCCUCCACCGCCGGCGCUGCUUCCUGGUCGGCGACCACCGCCGCCGCUGCUCCCCGGUCAGCGCCCACCGCUGUCGCUGUGCCCCGGCCAGCAACCUUCUCACCUCGCCUCCUCGCUGCCCGCAUCUCGCUCGAGCGAGAACAGCCGCGGCCGCCGAUUCCCAGCCAGCGGACCACCCAUCGCCGCUUAUACCGUCGGCGACGCUGCCCUAGCCGCAUCGCCAUCGCUGGCUUCCCUUGGUUGCAGCUUCGGCCGUGCGAUCUGUCGGUGUCGCUGUUUCUGUGGUGCGAUAGAAACAGAGCAGCCGCCGGUCCCUCUGCUGCCGCAGGCGUCGGUCGCCUCUACAGCCGCCGACUCCUCCUUCUCCACCGCUGCCGCUGCUUCUCGGCCGCANNNNNNNNNNNNNNNNNNNNCUGCCGCCCGCCUCCCAGCCGCAACCCUCGCCGUGCCCCCCCCUUGGGUCGCAGCCGCAGCCGCCGGUUGCCGCAGCCCUCGUUGCAACAGUUGCAGAAACAGAGCUACCUCUGUUGCUGCAGCCCCUGUCGAUCCUGGCCGCGACCCUCGCUGCCUCCUUCUCCACCGCCAACGCUGCGCUCCUGCCAGCGACCACCGCUGCUGCCAGUCACCGCAGCCUUCUCCUCAACUGCUCGUGAUCCUUCCGGCCAACUCCUUCGGUGGUGCGACAAAAACAGAGUACGCAGCAACAAAAAUAGUGGCACCCUCUGCUGCCGCAGCCGCCGAUUGUAAUCAUCGUCGUCGCUCCCAGCCAACAACCAAUCCCUCGUUCUGCAGCAGUCGCCCUCCAACAGUGAACGUAGCAACCGCAGCAAGUACGCUGCCUUGCCUCAACCCCGUUGCUCGGCGAUCGCCCCUUGGGUCGCAGCAACUGCAACCACAUCAACGUAGUCGCCUUCCAACCCCUGCGCUCUCACCUCACGCAGCGAUAGAAACAGGGUAGCUACUCUUCCUCCAACACAGCAACUGCAGCACUGUCCUUGGCGUCCACCUCCUCG